AUGCCCAAUAGCCAGGCCAUCGUGGACCUGGUGAGGGCGUUUGUGGAGGAGCCGGUCUCGUACGCCAUGUUCAGGGGCCGUCAGCUCAAGCCACGUGUCUUGAAGGGCUGCAGAAAGGAACUGUGGAGUUUCUGCUCUUGGCUGAUGCGGUCGUGCGGUAUUAAACGGGAGUACGAGAGAACGGUCUUCAUCUCAAACAUCAACAGUGACUUGGCUGAAUUCAGGAAGAAACUGGAGAAGUUUGGAUUGAUCACAAACUACGUGCCGCUGCUCAAUCAGGUGUUUGUGGAGUACGAGUCGAACGCAGACGCCGACAGACUCGGAGUUUACCACAGUCUUUUGAACAAACCGCCUUCAUACACACUGACCCGGAUGGGUUUCCCGACGAAGGCCAAACACAGCCCUCACCCGCCCUCCGUGUUCACAGCGAUGCCCGACGCCGCAGACAGAGCUCCCGGAGUGACCGUUCCGCAGAUGAGCAGCGGGAUCCCCCCCUACAGCCGGGGUCCGUUCUGCGUCACCAUGAGCACCAGAUCCUUCGUGUUCCCCACAGAAUCCCCCUGGUUCCACAUCCCAGAUUUCGAGACGGUGCCGAUGAGGAAGGACUCGUUGGAGCGCUUUCAUGCAGUUGAUAAAACAGCCAUCAUGUUGACAAAUCUAAAAUUCCAAGUCUUCACUCACGAGUCUUUGACCCCCAUGGUGUGGCCCUGGUUAAAGGGCAGAAAUCUGCACUGCUUCUACUACGACUUCAUCAUCCUGCCACUGCAGAGAAGAGCAUUUGUCAACUUCUACUCGACAGAGAAAUGUGCACAGUUCGCUGAGAUGUUCUUCUCUCAGCAAACUGUGCACAAGAAGACGCAUUUCCUCCAGCCGCACUACAUCGAUGACAAACUGUUUUCUGUGUCGACUGAGGCAAGUUUCGCUGACAUUUGUAUCUUCUAUUGAGGAGAAUAAAAGAAGCUAAAACACAGUUUUGGGUUCUAGUAUAAACUAGGGGUUCCCAAAGGCUGAGGCCUCCUCACCUGCUGCUUUCCAGAGUCAGGACUAAACACGAUGCUGCUUUUCUGCAGCUAAAAUCUGAAACCGUAUCAAGAAGAUGUGAAACAGCCCACAACACUGACAAUGUUCAAAUCCUGAAAACUGAAAACUGUGUUUAAAGCUACUCUAAGCGACCGGCAUUGUUGCAUUCCCACAUUGCACCACUAGAUGCACCACACUUGCCAACAGCAGCGGACUUUGUGCCACCGAAGGAGACCGGCGCCACACCUCCCUCAUCUCACAGCACACCCCCAACACACCACUCACCCCCACACACCCCUAACAACACGGGGGGGGGGGGAACAGGGUUCACUACUCCACCUACUGAGGAAAAAAAUUCAAAAAGACAUCACAUAGGGCAGCUGUAAGCCGGCUGUACACUGCACGAUUUUGGCCGUCUGUGAUGAACAAUCACUCGUCACGGGGAAAAUCGCAGCUCGUACUGUGAGACGGGGACAAAGAUUUAAAAUAGAGCCGCUGUACGACCAAGACGAGCUGUGACCGACAUCAGGCAGUGUCUGAUAUUUUGUAACACUAGUCUAAGAGUGAGCCUCCUCUCUGUCAGUGUCCCCUUAAAGAGUACCUAAACGGGCGUGCCAAAGCCUUUCCCCACCCACAAACAAAAGUCAAAAAUUGCUGUGAAAGAGGCGGUCUCUGAAGUUUGGGGGUGACAUGCGGGGGGUGAGUGUGUGGGCCUUUGCAUUGGCACAAUCACAGCAGACUGAUUACGUGGGAGGGGCUUGGUUAUAAAUGGGCAGGACCUGAUGACGAUGUGUGGAGCUGGUGCGGCUCAUGACGUUCUGUGGAGGCCGUGGACACGUCUCUAGCCAAUCAGGAAAUUCUAAUUUAGUAGCAGAGUUUACCCUGAAGGGGGCGCAACCCAUUCGUUUUCAGGCCAAAGUUAGGAUUUUACACAUGUUUGCGCUAUAAUGUCAGAAUAAUGUCAGGGACCAGUGGACAACACUAUGAGACGCCCAUUGAGACAGUUUAUCAGUGAAACAAACUUGAUUGAAGAGGCAGCAGAGGUGGAUCAAAAGAUCCACCUCUGCUGCACUGAUACAUUUUACUGAAGAAGUCCUCGCUGCUAUUGACCACUCAAAGUACAUGGUGAGCGUCUUUCUGGAUUUAAAGAAAGCAUUCGACUCAGUGAACCAUGAACUUCUGUUGUCUAAGUUGCAGGACUAUGGCAUAAGAGGACAUGUGUUUAAAUGGCUGGAAAGCUACCUGCAAAACAGACUGUGACUGUGGUAUGUGGAAUCCCACAGGGUUCCAUAAUCGGCCCAAAACUUUUUAUUUUAUUCAUAAAUGACAUCUACGAAGCAACAAAGAGAAUGGGCUUUCUAUUGUUUGCAGAUGACACAACCGUUUAUAAAUCAGGAAGUGACCUCGAUACAUUAUUAUCUUGUGUAAGCACUGAAAUGGCAAAUUUAAAAAAAUGGUUCGACCAAAACAAAUUAUUAUUAAAUUGGGAAAAAAACAAAUAUAUGAUUUUUGGGACAAGGACAAUUGAGGGGAAUAUUAACAUCACUAUUGACAAUUCAAGGAUUGAAAGAGUUACCAAGAUUAAAUUUCUGGGAGUUAUGUUGGAUACUAAAUUCAGCUGGAAGCCACAUAUUGAAUAUAUUCGAACAAAAGUGAGUAAAUGUAUACUGUAGGUAUUUUGCAUAAAG
This 2708-nucleotide long non-coding RNA is filed under the name Neogobius melanostomus (round goby). RNAcentral's name for it is "lncRNA (ENSNMLG00000012018.1)". Lineage: Eukaryota; Metazoa; Chordata; Actinopteri; Gobiiformes; Gobiidae. The record is from RNAcentral.